CUACUUCUCUGACAAGGGAAAUACAUGGUCACAAAAAUGAUUGUCCCAGGUUUUAGUCUUAUUCAUUUCGCUCCAGAUGUGCUGAUCCCAGGAUAUUUCCCCCAGUGUUGGAAACACAACUACUUAAUUUAUGGUAGUAUGAUACUGCAUUUAUACUUUCUUCUG
This 165-nucleotide small nuclear RNA is filed under the name Sorex araneus (European shrew). RNAcentral's name for it is "U1 spliceosomal RNA (ENSSARG00000019529.1)". It matches the Rfam family "U1 spliceosomal RNA". Rfam says of the family: U1 is a small nuclear RNA (snRNA) component of the spliceosome (involved in pre-mRNA splicing). Its 5' end forms complementary base pairs with the 5' splice junction, thus defining the 5' donor site of an intron. There are significant differences in sequence and secondary structure between metazoan and yeast U1 snRNAs, the latter being much longer (568 nucleotides as compared to 164 nucleotides in human). The record is from RNAcentral. Lineage: Eukaryota; Metazoa; Chordata; Mammalia; Eulipotyphla; Soricidae.